CCUUUCUCCCUCUCCCUUCUCUUCCUCCCUCCCUCCUUCCCUCCCUCUCCCUCUCUCUCUUUCCUCUCCCUUUCCCUCUCCUUCUUCCCCUCUUCUGUCUCUUAGCUUCCUAACAUUAAAGAGAAAAUGCUGCUAUCAGUGACUUCCAGGCCUGGGAUUUCGACUUUUGGCUAUAACAAAAACAACAAGAAGCCAUAUGUGUCGUUGUCUCAGCCAAUGGCACCACCUAGUCCAAGCAACAGCACCCCUAACAGCAGCAGUGGGAGCACUGUAAAUGACCAGCUGAGUAAAACCAACCUCUACAUCCGGGGAUUGCAGCCAAGCACUACCGACCAGGACCUAGUCAAGUUGUGUCAGUCAUAUGGCAAGAUUGUCUCCACUAAGGCCAUACUGGACAAGACCACAAACAAAUGCAAAGGCUAUGGCUUUGUGGACUUUGACAGUCCUUCAGCAGCACAGAAAGCUGUAACAGCACUGAAAGCCAGUGGUGUGCAAGCACAGAUGGCAAAGCAACAGGAGCAGGACCCCACAAAUUUAUACAUCUCAAACCUCCCGCUGUCAAUGGAUGAGCAAGAACUGGAGGGAAUGCUGAAGCCCUUUGGCCAGGUUAUUUCCACUAGAAUCCUUCGAGACACCAGUGGGACCAGCAGAGGGGUUGGCUUUGCAAGGAUGGAGUCCACAGAGAAGUGUGAAGCCAUCAUCACCCACUUUAAUGGAAAAUAUAUUAAGACACCCCCUGGAGUACCAGCCCCAUCUGAUCCCUUGCUUUGCAAAUUUGCUGAUGGGGGUCCAAAGAAACGACAGAACCAAGGAAAAUUUAUGCAAAAUGGACGGGCCUGGCCAAGGAAUGGAGACAUGGGUGGUAUGGCCUUGACCUAUGACCCCACCACAGCUCUUCAGAAUGGGUUUUACCCAGCUCCUUAUAACAUCACCCCCAACAGGAUGCUUGCUCAGUCUGCACUGUCCCCGUAUCUUCCAUCUCCUGUGUCUUCAUAUCAGAGAGUAACUCAGACAUCUCCUCUACAAGUACCUAACCUGUCUUGGAUGCACCACCAGUCAUACCUCAUGCAGCCUUCAGGUUCAGUUCUGACACCAGGAAUGGAUCAUCCUAUUUCUCUCCAGCCUGCCUCCAUGAUGGGACCUCUUACCCAGCAACUGGGCCACCUCUCGCUCAGCAGCACGGGCACAUAUAUGCCAACAGCUGCAGCUAUGCAAGGAGCGUACAUCUCCCAGUACACCCCUGUGCCUUCUUCCAGUGUUUCAGUUGAGGAGAGCGGCAGCCAGCAAAAUCAAGUGACGGUGGAUGCUCCCUCAGACCAUGGGGUCUAUUCUUUCCAGUUCAACAAGUAACAGUGAUUGGCCUGUUUUCCCUGAUAAAACUCCUCCCAGCGGCUCUCGAAGAAGCGACGCAUGAUGUGCCCAGCCUUGCCCACUUCAGAGUCAUCCUCAUUGAAUGUCUGGCAGUUGUCAAAGACCAGAAGUGCAUCAGCCGCAAACUCCUCUGAGCUGGUGUACCUGGGCAGGGGUGGAGACAGACCUGUGAGCUGGGUACAAGUUACGGCUGUAACAGAAGAGCCGGGACAGUUACUGAAGUCUACUUACCCUCCCCGGAGCAGCCGCUCCCGCAUGGUGGAAAAAUCCAUAGGGUUUUUGAUGAUGCGCCGGUACCCACUCACCAAUCGUGGGUUCACAGGCUCCAGGAAAGGCCAGGCUGCAUCAUGGGACUCCAUCUCCAUCAAGAUAAUCCUAUUAAGAAAGACAGUGAUGACUGCACUCUCAGGAAGCAAACACACUGACCCCUCCCAGCCCUUUACCGUGGCAAAGAUAGAGCCAGUUGUCCCCAGAAUUCACUCAACUCACUCGCAAAACGUGAGAUCACUGUGGUGGUUCCGCAUGGAGAGCCGCCGCCGCUUUGAGGGGGACUGUCCUCCUUCUGAGCACCGAGGCACUGCCGGGCUUUCUCGGCCCCUCGACAGCAGCCGGCGCCGGCAGCUAUCACCCUCUGGGAAGUUCAGCACAUAACUACUUUUCCGCUUCUGGCCUCGUUUUGGGAAACCUGGCCUCUGAGUCAAUUCUCCCUCUACCUGCUGAAGAUAAGAAAAAGGUGGUAUAAAGUGGCUACCCUCUGCAUGGAUACGUUGAAGGGAGCUAAUCUCCAAGCCUACCCGGUGCCAAAGUGUUGAAGGGCUCCAGAGAGACUUCACUGAGGAUUGGAGUGUCUUCCAGUUGAUCAGGAAGAUGUGAAGGAUCAUCUAAGCAGCUCACUGUGGGAUCAGGGACCAAGACUGAGACCUCUUGGUGUAAUGAUUCCACAGAAGGGACAGAGCCGUUGUAACCACACAUCUUUAGUUCUAGGAAAUCCCAGGAGAGGGCAAAAGUCAAAAUCAGUGCCGUCAACGGGCUCAGUUAGCUAUUAGUAGGCAAUCUUUGCUAGAGGGAUGGAUGUUCAUUCUUUCAACAUUUAUGGGUCCCAGUUCUAUGUUGGGUACCGAUCAUACCGAGAACUUUUGAGUAUGCAAAGAUGUGCGAGGAAGAUCCUGCAGCAGGUAAAGAGGGGAAAGAAGAGUGGGGUCUGAGACAAGAACCCCAUCAUGUUCUCAACUGUUUCCCCCAUCCAGUUAAACAGAGAAAACAUCCUGUGAUUUCACAGGGUGGUCACCUUUAUACUUGGAAUCAAUAGCAAACUUAAGCAUUUAUCUAUUCUGAGGGGGAAGGUGAGAGGGACUGCACAUGUACCUAUGCUAACAACAACAAAAAAGAAAGGAAACUCUCCAGGCUGCCUACCAAGCCAGUGCCAUUCUCCGCCACAACUGAAGUCAGCUCCUUUUCUGCUGCCUCAUCAGGAUGGAUACCACUGCCUACCUCCUGGGAGGGUGCAAAGGUCUGGAUGCUGGAUCCCAAC
Lagenorhynchus albirostris (white-beaked dolphin) is the source of this 2902-nucleotide RNA transcript. It is a transcript of the gene named RNA binding motif single stranded interacting protein 2, with no coding region annotated. The transcript has 16 exons. The record is from RefSeq and is a predicted model, not a curated record. Lineage: Eukaryota; Metazoa; Chordata; Mammalia; Artiodactyla; Delphinidae.